Rhincodon typus (whale shark) is the source of this 132-nucleotide small nucleolar RNA. RefSeq annotates it as small nucleolar RNA SNORA31. The record is from RefSeq and is a predicted model, not a curated record. The transcript has a single exon. Lineage: Eukaryota; Metazoa; Chordata; Chondrichthyes; Orectolobiformes; Rhincodontidae.
UUGCAUCUGUUGACAGAUUCGAAGCAGAUUACUGUGGCUUUCCAGGUUUUUUUUAACAGUUAGAUGCAAGAUUAAUUUUCUUGUUUUCUAUUUGAUCUCAUAGCAAUUCAGAUUGAAUAGAAAAAUAUAUAU